GAUCCUGGCUCAGGAUGAACGCUAGCUACAGGCUUAACACAUGCAAGUCGAGGGGCAGCAUUUUUAUAGCAAUAUAAAAGAUGGCGACCGGCGCACGGGUGAGUAACGCGUAUCCAACCUGCCCAUCACUUGGGAAUAACCUUGCGAAAGUAAGACUAAUGCCCAAUGAUAUCCCACGAAGGCAUCCGAAUGGGACUAAAGAUUUAUCGGUGAUGGAUGGGGAUGCGU
This 228-nucleotide ribosomal RNA is filed under the name uncultured bacterium. RNAcentral describes it as "partial 16S ribosomal RNA". It matches the Rfam family "Bacterial small subunit ribosomal RNA", at positions 15 to 236 of the family's 1533-position model. The record is from RNAcentral.